UUUGUAUUAAAGUUUUGAUUGUUUGAGGCACAUGAGAUGAGAUUAAGUUAGUUAGUAGUUGUUCCUUGGGUGUUUGAUGUGGUGUAAACCUGAGUUGAGGUGUCUUAGUAUGUGGUUCAGAUGCAGUUAAAGCACCUGUUCUGUUAAAGAAGAAACCUAAAUAUUAAGUAACCACCCACAUAUGUUGGUGAUAUUUUUAAAGAAGUAACUGUCAGCGGAAGGUACAUCACUGUGUUGGGUUCUUUAGACUUAAUGAUCAAGUAUUCUGUGUUAUUCUUGAGAGACAUGUACAAAUGUUUAAGUAAGAAAUUCAUGUUUACAGAAGGAUAACUCGUCUAUCGAUAUGUUAACUUUUCUUCAUUAAAUCUGAUUUUUCUUGAUUCUAGGAAAUAUACAUUUCUAGAAGAAUGUAAGCUUCUAACAUGAUGUAGUGUUUAUUACAGGUGAAAUAGAACUUCCACCUAGUUCUGAAGAAGAAGAAGAAAAUCCAAACAGAAAUGUAGAAGAUGAAAUAGAACUUCCACACAGUUCGGAAGAAGAAAAUCCUAAUGAAAAUGUGAAAGAAUUACCACCUUCAAGUAGUGAUGAAACAGAUGAUCAGAAGGAAGAAGAUACAUGUUCUCCAAGAACUGAACAUCAAAUUACAUAAUCUUUCCUGAAAACUUGCAAUUUUUGUAUAUAUAAUAAUUAUAGAUUAUGAUAUAUGUUCAGUCCUUUGUUUAUGCUUACAGAUAUGAAUAAACUGAUAAAAAAUUAA
Molecule: long non-coding RNA, 757 nt
Organism: Limulus polyphemus (Atlantic horseshoe crab)
Lineage: Eukaryota; Metazoa; Arthropoda; Merostomata; Xiphosura; Limulidae
Exons: 2
Source: RefSeq, a predicted model, not a curated record